CAUGGGUAACAGUCACCAGGCUUGACCCUGUAACACUGGAGAGGGGCUGUGACAUGGGUAACAGUCAGCAGGUUAGACCCUGUAACACUGGAGAGGGGCUGUGACAUGGGUAACAGUCAGCAGGUUAGACCCUGUAACACUGGAGAGGGGCUGUGACAUGGGUAACAGUCAGCAGGUUAGACCCUGUAACACUGGAGAGGGGCUGUGACAUGGGUAACAGUCAGCAGGUUAGACCCUGUAACACUGGAGAGGGGCUGUGACAUGGGUAACAGUCAGCAGGAUAGACCCUGUAACACUGGAGAGGGGCUGUGACAUGGAUAACAGUCACCAGGCUUGACCCUGUAACACUGGAGAGGGGCUGUGACAUGGGUAACAGUCAGCAGGUUAGACCCUGUAACACUGGAGAGGGGCUGUGACAUGGGUAACAGUCAGCAGGUUAGACCCUGUAACGCUGGGGAGGAAUACUGAGGAGUUGAAGUUUGUAUGGAAACAGGUGCCCCAAACCAUAUGGCUUUGAUUGGGGUCAUAGGGGAGCAUGUUUAACCACCAGAGAUGUAAUAGUCCUCAGAGACUUUGUCAGAACUUGGCUCUGACACCAACCAAGGACUUGUGACUUGCACAGUGUGAGACCAGAGGCUAAAGAGACAGAGGUGAGCGUCCCUAGAGACACGAGAGGACAGGAAGAGAAGGAACCUCCAGGGAGAGGAAGUGGCAGUUACAUCGUGGGAACUCAGGGAAUUCCCGGUUAUUUAUCACAGCCAUGUUCCAGACACCUUGCCAGAUACUUAUGUUUUAUCUCCAGUCCUUGAACUGAGUCUAAUUUC
Long non-coding RNA from Apodemus sylvaticus (European woodmouse), 824 nucleotides. RefSeq lists it as uncharacterized. The record is from RefSeq and is a predicted model, not a curated record. The transcript is spliced from 3 exons. Lineage: Eukaryota; Metazoa; Chordata; Mammalia; Rodentia; Muridae.